CCACCCACAGGGAUUGCCUUAGUAGCGGCGAGUGAAGCGGCAAAAGCUCAAAUUUGAAAUCUGGCGCCUUCGGUGUCCGAGUUGUAAUUUGAAGAUUGUAACCUUGGGGUUGGCUCUUGUCUAUGUUUCUUGGAACAGGACGUCACAGAGGGUGAGAAUCCCGUGCGAUGAGAUGCCCAAUUCUAUGUAAGGUGCUUUCGAAGAGUCGAGUUGUUUGGGAAUGCAGCUCUAAGUGGGUGGUAAAUUCCAUCUAAAGCUAAAUAUUGGCGAGAGACCGAUAGCGAACAAGUACAGUGAUGGAAAGAUGAAAAGAACUUUGAAAAGAGAGUGAAAAAGUACGUGAAAUUGUUGAAAGGGAAGGGUUUGAGAUCAGACUCGAUAUUUUGUGAGCCUUGCCUUCGUGGCGGGGUGACCCGCAGCUUAUCGGGCCAGCAUCGGUUUGGGCGGUAGGAUAAUGGCGUAGGAAUGUGACUUUACUUCGGUGAAGUGUUAUAGCCUGCGUUGAUGCUGCCUGCCUAGACCGAGGACUGCGAUUUUAUCAAGGAUGCUGGCAUAAUGAUCCCAAACCGC
This 570-nucleotide ribosomal RNA is filed under the name Meyerozyma guilliermondii. Its description in RNAcentral is "eukaryotic LSU rRNA". It matches the Rfam family "Eukaryotic large subunit ribosomal RNA", at positions 62 to 648 of the family's 3401-position model. Lineage: Eukaryota; Fungi; Ascomycota; Pichiomycetes; Serinales; Debaryomycetaceae. The record is from RNAcentral.